GAUGGACCCCGGUGCUUCUCAUUCCUUUAUUGCUUCGAGAGCCAUAGAGAGAUUGGGUUUGAUCAGUUCUGAGUUAGCGUAUCCUCUCUGGGUCAGUGGACCCAAGUGUGACCCAUCAGUGGCAGUGUCAGUCUGUCGUUUCAGUCCAGUGUUCAUAGAGGGUAGAUGCCUUCCAGCUGACCUUGUGGUUCUAGACUUGACAGAUUUUGAUGUCAUUCUAGGGAUGUAUUGGCUAUCUGCAUAUAGUGCUACUUUGGACUAUAGAGAGAAGAUAGUUAGCCUCAGAGACCAGGAUGGGUCAGAGUGUGUCUUCAAAGGAGACAGGAGAGGUACACCCAGAGGUUUGAUUUCAGCCCUUCAGGCUCGUCGUUUGCUUAGGAGGGGUUGUCAGGGGAUUCUAGCGCAUGUGAGAGAGCUAAACAGCCAGGUUAGGGAACCAGCUUCGCUACCAGUAGUCCGAGAGUUUCCAGAUGUUUUCCCAGACGAACUUCCAGGACUACCACCUGGUAGGGAGAUAGCGUUUGAAAUAGAAUUGCUACCUGAUACCAGACCUAUCUCUAUUCCUCCCUACAGGAUGGCGCCAGCAGAGUUAAAGGAGUUGAAAGAACAGUUACAGGACUUGGUGUAUAAGGGUUUCAUCCGCCCUAGUACCUCACCUUGGGGUGCUCCAGUGCUUUUCGUCAGAAAGAAGUAUGGAUCCCUCAGACUUUGUAUCGACUACAGACAGUUGAACAAGGUCACUACCAAGAAUAGGUAUCCUCUACCUAGGAUUGAUGAUCUAUUUGACCAGCUAGCUGGAGCAGGUUGUUUCUCUAAAAUAGAUCUGAGAUCCGGGUAUCAUCAGUUGAGAGUCAGAGAGGCAGAUGUGCCAAAGACAGCUUUCAGGACCAGAUAUGGGCAUUAUGAGUUCUUAGUGAUGCCGUUCGGGUUGACUAACGCCCCUGCAGCAUUCAUGGAUCUAAUGAACAGAGUUUUCAGUGAGUUUCUGGAUCACUUUGUCAUUGUUUUCAUUGAUGAUAUCUUAGUGUAUUCCAGAUACGCAGAGGAGCAUGCCCAGCAUCUGCGGAUAGUUCUGCAGACACUGAGAGAGCAUGGUUUGUAUGCCAAGUUCUCUAAGUGUGAGUUUUGGUUACGGAGCAUUUCCUUCUUGGGACAUGUAGUAUCAGCAGAAGGGAUUGAGGUAGACCCCAAGAAGAUAGAGGCUGUAGCUAACUGGCCCAGACCCACUACAGUGACUGAGAUUAAAAGCUUUCUGGGACUGGCAGGUUACUGCAGGAGGUUCGUUCAGGACUUCUCAAAGAUAGCGGCUCCUAUGACCAAACUGACUCAGAAGAACCAGAAGUUUGUCUGGUCAGACCAGUGUGAAGAGAGCUUUGAGGAGCUCAAGAGGAGAUUGACAACAGCACCAGUGUUAGCUCUGCCUGUCAGUAAUGAGGAUUUCAUAGUGUUCUGUGAUGCAUCUCGAGUGGGAUUGGGUUGUGUUUUGAUGUAGAGUGAUAGGGUGAUUGCUUAUGCUUCUAGACAGUUGAAGAAGCACGAGUUGAAUUACCCUACCCAUGACCUAGAGAUGGCAGCAGUUAUUUUUGCACUCAAGAUGUGGCGGCAUUACCUCUACGGGGUUAAAUGCGAGAUUUUCACUGAUCAUAAGAGUUUACAGUACAUCUUGAGCUAGAGAGAGCUGAAUUUGAGGCAGAGAAGAUGGGUAGAAUUGCUCAGUGAUUAUGAUUGUAAGAUCCAGUAUCAUCCGGGUAAGGCGAAUGUUGUGGCAGACGCCCUAAGCCGGAAGUCACUAGGCAGUUUAUCCCAUAUAGCAGCAGAGCGGAGACCAGUCGUGAUGGAGCUUUACAAGCUCUUAGAAGAGGGGUUACAGCUAGAGUUGUCUGGUACAGGUGCGUUGAUAGCACAGAUGAGAGUGACACCUGUGUUUCUGGAGCAGAUAGCGCAGAAACAGCACGAGGACCCAGAGUUGAUGAAAAUUGGCAAGACUGUUCAAUCAGGCAACAGUGCAGAGUUCAGAUUUGACAGCAAAGGGAUCCUCCGCUAUGGGAGUCGACUUUGUGUACCAGAUAGUAGCAAUGUUAAGGAAGACAUUAUGAGGGAAGCUCAUAAUGCACGGUAUAGUGUUCACCCGGGAGCCACCAAGAUGUAUCAGGAUUUGAAAAGGGUAUAUUGGUGGCCAGCCAUGAAAAAAGAAGUGGCGCAGUUUGUGACAGCCUGUGAGGUUUGUCAAAGGGUGAAAUUAGAACAUCAGAAGCCGGCUGGAAUGCUCAAUCCACUGUCGAUUCCAGAGUGGAAAUGGGAGAACAUAGCUAUGGAUUUUGUAGUGGGCUUAUCGGCAGCGUCCAACAGGAUAGACUCCAUAUGGGUGAUUGUGGACAGACUCACGAAAUCUGCUCAUUUCAUUCCCGUUAGGAGUAACUACUCUGUGGAUAAGUUGGCAUAGGUAUAUCUGGAUGAGAUAGUGAGAUUACAUGGAGUUCUAGUGUCUAUAGUUUCAGACAGAGGACCUCAGUUCACCUCCAGAUUUUGGCGAAGUCUGCAGAAUGCGAUGGGCACGAGAUUAGAUUUUAGCACUGCUUUCCACCCACAGACUGAUGGGCAGUCAGAAAGGACCAUCCAGACCAUAGAGGAUAUGCUCCGAAUGUGUGUGUUAGACUUUGGCGGUUCUUGGAGGCAGCAUCUACCUCUAGUGGAGUUUGCCUACAAUAACAACCAUCACGCUAGCAUAGGGAUGGCUCCUUAUGAAGCUUUGUAUGGAAGAAAGUGCAGAUCCCCUGUUUGCUGGGAAGAAAUAGGAGAGAAGGCUCUUGUAGGGCCAGAGUUAAUAGAGAUUACCAGUAGAGUGGUACCUACGAUCAGAGAGAGAAUCAGAACAGCUCAGAGCAGAUAGAAAAGUUAUGCAGACGUUCGCAAAAAGCAGUUAGAGUUUCAGGAGGGUAGUAUGGUAUUGCUGAAGGUGUCUCCAAUGAAAGGAGUGGUUCGUUUUGGAAGAAAAGGUAAGUUAGCCCCACGAUACAUUGGACCCUUUGAGAUUGUACAGAGGAUCGGAAAUGUGUCGUAUAAGCUAGAUUUACCUGCUUCUAUGGAGAGAAUUCACCCGGUAUUUCAUGUUUCUAUGCUACGGCAGUUUGUGUCAGAUCCGAGUCAAGUUCUGAGUGAGCCUGAUGUGGAGAUUCUAGGGGAUCUCACUUAUAUAGAGCAGCCGGUACGGAUUCUGGACACGCAGAUCAGACAGCUAAGGAACAAAGAGAUUCCGAUGGUGAAAGUUCUGUGGAUCCACCAUAAUCUAGAAGAAUGUACCUGGGAGACGCGGGAGUCUAUGCUUCAGCAAUAUCCAUUUUUGUUUUGAGGUUAGUUUCCUCCUUUUUAUGUGUUCGUUGUUUGUUUUAGGAACAUUCGAGGACGAAUGGUCUUAAGGGGGGGAGAAUGUAAUACCCGGCUAGAGUCCGGCAUCGGAAGUCUACUUUCCGAUGGAGUUCAGGAUGCCGAAAGUCUCUAGAAGGGUUAGAUUUAUGUUUUUCUAAAAGGUUUUGGUAUGUUUCAUAGUUUUCAAGCAUAAGGAAAUGAGGUUUUGAGUGAAAUGAACCAAGGCAGAAAAGCCAGGUUCGGCCGCCGAACAUGCAUGGCUUUCGGUUUCACGUGUGGCCGCCGAAGGUGGUCUGGCCAGCCACCUAUAAAAGGCCCUCAGUCGGUUGAAAUGAUAAGAUCACCGUUUCUUUUACCUUCUGAGGUGAGACCCUGUCCUUUUUAGAGUUUUCUUCAUGUUUUCAUUAAAUCAUGCAAAGAUUUGAUUGAUUUUUAUGUUGUUUUGAAGGUUUUGAGUUAGAAACUUCAAUUUUGAAGUUUGGAGAGUUUGAAGGAGAGUUGCUCCAAAACUCCACGUUAGGAUCGUUCAUCUUCUUGGUUUCAAGAGGUAAGUGAAGAUCCUGAGCUUGUUUUCAUGAUUUAUGGAUGAUUUGAGAGGUUUUGGGGGAGAGUUGCAUGCAUAGGGUAAAAGGAGAGUUUUUGAUAUUUUUGUGAGAAAAGCAUGUUUGUGUGGUGUAUGUUAUGUGUUGUUGGGGUUUUAAGGCAGUUUCUGACUCCUUUGAGCAUAUACUUGGAUGUAUGCAAGUUGAGGAAUUGAGGUGUGUGAGAUUGGGAGAGUUUUGUGCUUUUGGUGAGAGGCAGAGCAAGUUUCUGCCUUGCGGAUGAACUCAGGUUCGGCCGCCGAAGGUACAUUCGGCCGCCGAACCCAUGAGGAGGUGGCUUCGGCUGCCCAAGCUUGCCCCCGAGCUUUUGGAUUUUUGGCUCUGGAGGGGAGUUUGGCCGCCGAAGGUGCCGCCGAAGGUUAGAGACUUUCGUCUCUGGAGUGCCUUUCAGCCUCCAAAACUUGCCCCCGAAAGGGUUCGGCUGCCGAAAGUAGAGAUUCGGCCGCCGAAGGUGCAUGAGUUUCGUCUCUGGAGAGGACUUUUGGCCGCCGAACCUGCCGCCGAAAGUGUUUUGUCCAGCCUUCUCUUGCAUGUUUUGCAUGGAUGUUUGAGUGAGUUUAAGGGGAGUCUUAGAGAGUUAAAUAGAGUUGUUUAUAAGUUAGUUGGGUCCCUCAUUUGAGUUUAUCUGUGCUUACACAGACCAGAGGAACCAGAGAGAGCAGCAGUGAGUACUACUCCAGAGUUUUCAGAGCCUGCAGAGGCAGUCCAGAUAGCCAGAGGUGAGUGGAACUAAACUUAAUUCUUUUAAUUGCGAAAUGGAAUGUUUUUAGCAUAUUUCAUGCAUCAUGGUUAUGCAGUAGGUUGAUUGCAUUAGAAUCCACGAAUAUGUUGCAUUGCAUAGUUAUUUAUUGAUGUGGGUGAAUGCUGAAUGAUCCAAUAGUCUCUGAGAGAAGUCCAGGAGCCUUUGAGUAUGCCCUGGCAGGUAUAGAGAAGUCCAGGAGCCUUUGACUACGCCCUGGCAGGUAUAGUAAAGUCCAGGAGCCUUUGACUACGCCCUGGCAAUGGUAAGUACAGAGGUGUUAUAUACACAUAUACAGAUAUAACCGGAAGACCAGGUGCUCGAUUCUACGCCCUGGCAUGGCAGAGUUACCGGGACUAUGUGGUGACAGGUUGACCCUUGAUGUGGAUUGUCUAUGAUAUGAUGCAUUCCAUAGGAGCAUAUUUUAAUGAUUAGUCAGGGGUACAGAGUACAGAGUAGAGAGUACAGAGAUAGUGCAUGCACAGGUUAAGCCUUGGUUCAGAAAAGAGUUUUCAUUUUCUCAGAAAAUGUAUGAUCAUGUAUGAGAUUUACAGGUACACAGAGAGUAUAUCAGGCUUGCUACGGGUUCUGGCGGCCUUAAGCCGACCUGAAUCCUAGCGCCGGUGACGGUCCAUUUUGGGGUCGUUACAGUUAGGGGAGAGGGGUGAGCUACAAAAGCCCAGUGAGCAGAAUAGUAAAAACAAUUUAAUAAAUAUAUGCUUUUAUGGAAUGCAUCACAACACAAACAAUUCACAUCACGGAUGGACUGACCCAAAAAUCUCUCUACUCUGUGCCCAGCCCUCGGUGGAGCUCCUUAGGACUUCUAUUACAUAACAUAAGCUAUGUGCCAGGGGCGUAGUGCAGGCCACGCCUGGUCUUUUCUGUACUCUGUGCCAGGGGCAUAGAAUGGAAGCCCUGGUCUUUCAUUACAUAACAUAAUAUCUAGAGGGCUAAUGGGUCGUCCUGUUGUCCAUCCACAUCAACAACCAAUUAUGCAAUGCGGCAUAUUCGUGAAAUCUAAUGCAUCCAACCUAUUUCAUAUACAUGAUGCAUGAACAUGCUUAAAACAUUUGUUUUCUUGAAAUAAAAGAUUAGUUUAGUUCUACUCACCUCUGGCUGACUCUGAACUAACUCUGAAGUAGCUAUCUUACUGCUGAUCACCUCGGUUCCUCAGGUCCUAUCCUACACAGGUGGACUCAAAUGAGGGACCAAACAUACUCUAACACGACUCUAAACAACUCCCCAAAAACCCUCCAAAACAUCAUAAAACAUGCAUAGAAAACAGACAAAGGAAGGCUGGGCAGGGGACUUUCGACAGCAGGUUCGGCGGCCGAAGAUCCCUCCAGAUCCGAAAGUCAAGCACUUUCGGGGGCAGGUUCGACGUUUGAAACUCCCCACUUGAGCCGAAAGUCCAACUUUCGGGGCGAGUUUAGGCGGCCUAAAGCUGCCUCCACAGGCAGGUUCGGCGGCCGAACAUGGCUUCGCAGCCAAACCUGGGUUCUCUGGAAUGGCAGAACCCGAUUUGCCUCUCUCAUCUAGCCUCCCAAAACCCUCCAAACUCAAACUUGACACUCAAAAGCAUGUAUAAACACAUCAUCAAGCAUAUAGGGGCAUAAAACUAGCCUAUACCCCAACAAACAUCAUAUUUAACAUCGCAUUUCUCAUUAAACUAACAUAAACCCCAACAUUCUAGAUCUACUCUAGACAUGCAUUAAACACCCUUUAAACUCACUUAAAACCUAAAAGAAGAGGAGGAUCUACACCUACCUCUUGAAGAUCGAGAGGAGAUACGAUUCCAAACUUGGAGAUAUGGAGGAACGAGCUCCGGGGGUCUCCAAGCUUCAAAACUUUGAUCUUAGCUUAAAAUCUUCAAAACAAAGGUAAAAACUCAUAAAAAACUUGCAGGAUUUGAAGAAAAAUAUAAAAUCAACCAAAAGAGGGCGAAAUCUCACCUAUACCCGAAAAUAGAGAGAGAAAACUCACCCAUUUUCGGACAAGGGGCCUUUUAUAGGUGGCUGGCUAGACCACCUUCGAGGGCCAAAGGUACUUCCGCAAACUCCCUAUAUUCGGCGGCCAAACUUGAGGUUCGGCGGCCGAACCUGGGUUUUCCUCCAUGGCUUUUUCUUUCAAAACUCAAUUUUUUUCUUCAUUAAAACCAUAAAAACAUAUAAAAGCAUUUUAGAAAACCUUUAUUUUACCCUUCUAGAAGGCUCUGACAUCCGAGAAAUUACGGAUUCCAACGGAGAUUCCGCCGGAAGAUAGGAAUUUCGAUGCCGGGGUCUAGCCGGGUAUUACAUUAAUGAUCCUCUAUUAGAAUCAAGUAUGUUGAAUCACUUCAACACCUUUUCCAAAUAUAGAUUUUGAGAGAGACCUAUUAUUCUUUUUGCUGAAUUCUAAGAAUGUAGGUUACCUCUCCUAAGUCCUUUAUAGAGAAAGUAUUUGAGAGCCAUAAUUUAACACUUAUGAGCAUCCCAGUGUCAUUUCCAUUAACAAAAUGUCAUCCACAUACAAAAUAAGGAAAGCGAUUUCACUCCCACUAAAUUUUUUAUACACACAAGGUUCAUCAAUGUUCUUGACAAAAUCAAAGGAUUGAAUAGCCUCCUCAAGUCUUAAAUUCCAACUCUUAAAGCUUGCUUAAGUAUAUAAAUGGAUUUUUUAAGCUUACAUAUUUUAGCAUCUUCCUUGGAUUAAAAACCCUUAAAUUGUUCCAUAGAAAUUGUUAGUGUAUUUGCCCUAGACCAUUAUCUUGAACCUUUUUUCUAUGUCGUUUUCAUUAUUAAUAAAAGAGGUUUUUAUUAUCAUUAUUAUUUGUUUGCAUGUUACAUAAUAAUGAUUAACAUCCAUGGUUACUUAUUAUUAUAUUGAUAAUAAUAAAAUAUAACUAGUAUGAUUAUUGAUUAAUAAUUAUGAGAUGAUUAUGUAUAUGUUGAUAGAAUUCAAUAAUUAUAGAUACUUGUUAGAGAAUAAAGUAUUGGAUGGACCCGCAUUUAGAUCACUACAUAGGUUACUGUCAUAAGUGAAUCUCAAAGUAGUUAUGUCUUAAUCUUUUGACUUGAGAUUGUCAUAGUUUCCCAUAUAAGGACUAUUAUGUUUUGACAUAACCAAAUAUUGUCUUUAAUCGGACAAUCAUAAAGGUUAUGAUUGAGCAUGAUAGAAAUUAUAUAGAGGAUAUUGAACAAUCAAGAUAAAAUUUGUCCCUCUCUUUGAGAGAGAUAUCUUCUGGGCCCCUCGAUAAGUGAGACUGAGAAAUGUAUGGCCGUGCUCAAAUAAAUUGAUAGUGUGAUCAAUAUCAUUUGAUUUUAUCAGUCUACUCAGAGAUAAAAAAAUCACAAGUUUGAAUAUUAUAAGUUUGACAUUGACAAUUACUUAUGUUCAAACUAGAUAUCGUAUGGCAAAGGAAUUAAUACAUGUUCUAUUUAUCAGGCUUUAUCGGACUAUCGAUCGUAAUAUUAGUUGGGUAGUCAUAAUAUCUUGCUAGAGGCCGCUUAUGAUUUAUGGGCCUUGUGAGACUGGGCCUAUUACAAUUAAUAUGAGCCUAUUGGGUCACACACAAAAGAACGUUAUUGAUGUGCUAUGUCAUAUUAAUGGGCUAAAGCCCAUUAAUAUAAUUAAUAAUAAUAAAGAUGUUAUUAUUAUUAAUAUUAUUUAUUUAUUAUUAUAAGAUAAUAAUAUUUAAAAGGAUCUGCACUCUAUCUGUAACUGUUACAGAUAAAGAACUUUAUCACAUAGAUAUUUGAGUAUCUGUGAGAUUGUGAUAGUUGGUUAUGAACACAACUUUAUAACAUAAGAUAUAUGAGUAUCUGUAAGAUUGUGAUAGUUGGUUAUGAACACAACUCUAUCACAUAAGAUAUUUGAGUAUCUGUUGUGAUAGUUGGUUAUGAAUACAACUCUAUCACGUAAGAUAUUUGAGUAUCUGCGAAAUUGUGAUAGUGGGUGAUAAACACAACUGUUUUACGAAAAGAAUUAUGGGAAAACAAAAAGACUUAAAACGUAUAAAACUCCUACUGCGAAUGUGGGGGUUAACGUUUUUUGGAAAAAUCAUUUUGAGGUGCAGUUUGGAAAAACACAUAGCUUAUCCAUCUUUGAGAAAGCUAGCACUCUAAAAGGAUAAAAGACGUUCGUGUGGAUACCAUUGAUAGAGCAUAAUUUAGACUAUUUUAUCAUGAUGAUAUUGAUGUUAAUUUAUACUUUAUCUGUCUAAUUUUGUGAUUUUGAUCUUAUUUUGCAGAAAGUGGUGUAAAGAGAUAAUUUGGUGAAAAUGCCCCUAAAACUGCCUAAAAUGGAGCAAAGGAGAGCAAGCAUGCCAAGUGCAUCUUGAAAAGAUCCAAAUAAGGAAAGUAAUUUGAAAUUCAAAUUUUAAAUCCUUAAGAGAAUUCAAAAUUCAAAAUCAAGAUUCAGCUCAUUAAGGAAAGUGCUAAUUAAGGAAAGUGCCAAAUAAGGAAAGUGCAGUCUGCAGAGCAGUUUGAAAUUCAAGAUCUUCAAGAAUCAUUUUCCUUAUUGAAGAAGUCAAAUCUUUAGAAGAUGCACAUUCAAAUUUGAAAUUCAAAUUCAGCUUAUCAAAGAAGCCAAAAAAGUCACACAUGCCACCUCAAGUCUUGCACAUUCAAAAUUCAAAAUUCAAAAGAGAGGCUCCACCUCAUUAAUGCAAGAUAUGGGCGGCAUGGGCAGUAUAUGGGCAGCCAAGAAUUCAACUUGGGCAGCAAGGAAGGCUAGGGCAGCAUCUUAAAUCCUAUUUAAAGACAAGGUAAGGCCAACCGCCCACUCUUCCCCAUCUUCUCCAUUCGGCCGGCGCUCCUUCUCCAAGUUCUCCACCAUUCAGUUCCUUCUCUUCUUCUUCUUUUCUUGUUUUUUGAUUUUUGGUUCAGUCAUGAGUGGGUGAAACCUUUUAUUCUAGUUGAAGAUUGGGUGAUACUUUGGUUAUUUUAUAGAUUAUGAGAUCUGAACAUAAGUUGUUUAUCUUUUGGUUAUUUAAUAUUUGUGCAAUUUCAUGCUUGAUUCCAUUAUUGCUUUGUUAUUAUGAUCAAUGUGGCCACUUGAUUCUUGAUUGCAAGGUAAUAUAUUGUUAGUUUGAAUAAUUUUGAGUCCGUAAUUGCUUGGAUUGUUCAAACAUAAGAACACUUGGUGUAAAAACUAAGGAAGUUGCAUAAUCUAGCAAUAUCACCAUGCGUUUGGGUAGCUAGGAUUAGAUCUCUCUAUUUCUUAAUGCAAUUGAUAGUUGUUUUGAUGCCUAAGGCCCAAGGACGUUCCUUGGCAACUUGUUGAUUAGUAAUUAAUUAGAGGACGUUUCCUAAUUAGUUUAUGCUUAAGGAGAGACAUGGUGGUGAGAAGCGUCUUCCAUCUCCAUAACUAAUCUAUUGAAUCUCUCAAAGGAAACUAAGUGUCAUUGAUCAAUCCCAACAACUGAAGUGGAUCCAAUUCUUCAACUAGAUCUUUCUCAUUAUUGAAAUCUCUUUACUUUUAUUAUUCGCUUUCUUUUAUUGCUUUCAGGUUCAGAUCAAUUCAAUCAAUCUCAAAACCCUACUUUUUACUUUACCUGCACUUUAUUUUUAUUUUUCUUUCAGUUUCUUUGCUUUCAAUUAAUUCUCUUGGUCUUGACAAGGAAGAUAGGUAAGUUUUCAAUUCCCUGUGGAUUCGAUCCUUUCACCACUAUUUACAGUUGUAAAAUUGUUGAUAACUGAAAAGGUUAUUUUUGACCGGCUUCGACAACCGACUGUCAAAAAUUGGCACCGUUGUCGGGAAAUUGAUUUAACUGAUUUAUUUUUCUUUCAUGACCAAAUCUAGAAACAAGGAGACUCUGCCUUACGAUCCAGAAAUUGAGCGCACAAUUAGGAAAUUAGGGAAGCAAGCAACUCGGCUUUGGGAGACAACUGAAGCCGAACCCGCGCAAGAAGAGCACCUUAGCGCAAAUCAACCUCUGAGACCUCUGAAUUGCACCACCAAGCCACAGAAAUGGCUGAAAACGUGGCACAACCUGCUGCCCAUGCUGGACAUGCUGUCCAUGAUGAAAUAAUACAAGAAAAUCCAGCCAUGAGGGCCCUAAUGCCAAGAGAAAGAACCAUGAGGGAGUUGGCAGCCCCUAUAGGUGAUCAAGCACCUCUUUGCAUCAGUUAUCCACCUCUGGCAGUUCCUUUUGAAUUCAAAACAGGUUUGAUUCAUCUACUCCCUAAAUUUAGAGGUCUAGAGAAUGAAAAUCCACACAAGCACUUGAAAGAAUUUAAUAUUGUCUGUUCAUCCAUGAGGCCGCAAGGCAUAACUGAAGAACAUGUCAAAUUGAGAGCUUUUCCUUUUUCACUUGAUGAUUAUGCUAAGGAUUGGUUGUUUUACUUACCACCUGGAUCUAUCACUUCAUGGGAUGAUAUGGUAAUAGCCUUUCUGAACAAAUACUUCCCAACUUCUAAAACCAUUGGCAUAAGAAGAGAGAUCAGUAACAUUAGGCAAAAACAAUAUGAGGAUUUAUAUGACUAUUGGGAAAGGUUUAAAAGAUUGUGUACAGGUUGUCCUCAGCAUGAUAUAUCAGACAAGUCACUCAUAGAAUUCUUCUAUGGAGGUUUGCUACCAUCCAAAAGGAGAUUCAUUGAUGUAGCAUGUGGAGGUUCCAUUGCAGAUAAAACACCUAGAGAGAUGAGAGAGUUGAUCUCAACACUUGCAGCCUCAUCUAGGCAAUAUGGAGAAGAAAAGCAACUGUAGAGAGGAGCCAAUGAGGUAAGUACAUCUACUCUUUCCUCUCAGAUUUCUGAACUAACCUCUGUUAUGAAAAAUUUUGUCAUAGGUCAAGCUCAACAGGCUCAGACACCUCAGCUACCUCGGUCAUGUGGGAUUUGUGCAUAUGUAGGACACCCAACUGAUUAAUGUCCUACACUUCAAGAAGAUAGCCAGCAAGUGAAUGCCAUUGGAGGAUACAAUGGCCAAGUAAGACAUGAUCCAUAUUCUAACACAUACAAUCCAGGUUCGAGAGACCACCCCAAUUUCAGCUAUGGAAGGGCUAACAACUACAAGAACUACCAAAGAAAUCAAGCCCAACCAGCACCUCCAAUUUCCAAUACUAGUCUUGAUGAGGUAGUGAAGACUUUGCAAAGUCUCCGACCGCAGAUGGGACAAAUGGCCACUUCCAUAAGCAAGCUUGAAUCCCAAGGUAAGCUACCUUCCCAAACUGAAACUAAUCCCAGACAGAAUGUGAGUGCUAUCACAUUAAGAUGUGGGAAAGAGCUCCAAGAUGCCAAAUCUGAAGAAGAAAGGCAAAUGGCGCAAUAACAAGGUGUUUCAGAAACCCUUCCAACGCACCACCUCUCCAAGCCGGAUGUGCAAUCCAAACCGAUUCAACAGCCAAAUGCAAAUCAACAAGUAAGUUUCAAAAUUCCACCUCCUUUUCUAAAAAGAUUUGAAAGGACACAAAGAAAAAGAAGAAAAAGAGAUCCUUGAGACCUUCAGGAAAGUGGAAAUCAACAUACCUCUGCUAGAUGCUGUGAAACAGAUUCCCAGGUACGCAAAAUUUCUGAAAGAACUGUGUACCAACAGAAGGAAGCUUGCUGAGAGAGAAAAAGUAAGUGUAGGUGAGGUUGUUACUGCUGUGAUAAAAAGAGAACUUCCAACUAAAUGCAAAGAUAAAGGAAUGUUUGCUAUUUCUUGCAAAAUUAGCAAUGUUGGGAUAAAGAAAACUAUGUGUGAUCUAGGUGCAUCCAUUAAUGUUAUGCCUCUUGCUAUUUAUAAUUCUUUGAAUGCAGGUGCACUGAAAGACACCAAAGUAGUGAUUCAGUUGGCUGACAGAUCUGUGGUGUAUCCAAAAGGAGUUCUAGAAGAUGUUCUAGUACAAGUAGAUGAACUUGUCUUCCCAGCAGACUUUUAUGUGAUUGAUACAAAGGAAGACAAUAGCAACACUACUUCAGACAUCCUUCUUGGACAUCCUUUCUUAAGCACAACCAGGACUAAGAUAGAUGUGCAUGAUGGCACUCUCACCAUGGAAUUUGAAGGGGAAGUUAUUAAAUUUAAUGUUUAUGAUGCUAUGAAAUAUCCUUAUGAUUUGUCCCCUAUUUAUGGUUUAGAUAUCAUUGAUUGUUUGAGCCAGGAAGUUUUUGAUAUGAAUCAAGAUGAUAUACUAAACAAUGACCUUCGCAGGGAUGAGAGCCGAAAAGAGCCAGAAUUGAAAGAAACAGUCUGCGGCAUCCAGCAGAUGAGCUGCAGACAACCGCAGGAAGAACAGAAAUCAAUCGCACCUCUUCAGAUCAGUCCGCAUAAGAACCUUGCGUAGACAGAGGGCAUUCCAAAUGCGCCUCUUCAGCUUGAACCGCAGGACAGUCAUGCGAAACAUCCCUUUUAGACUGGUCUUACACAGAAGGAAGAAGCUAAAACCAGUUCAUCUAGACAGCAGAAUACAGGUCAGAAAAUUUCAGAACCAGAUCUGAAGCCUCUUCCAGACCAUUUGAAAUAUAUGUACUUGGGAGCUGAGAAGACACAUCUAGUGAUAGUGUCAAGUCAAUUAAGCCAAAAGGAAGAAGAAAGCCUCCUAAAAGUACUGAGAAAGCACAAAGGAGCCAUAGGGUGGACCAUAGAUGACAUAAAAGGCAUCUCCCCUGCCACAUGCAUGCAUAGAAUACACAUGGAAGAGGAAUGUAAGCUAGUCCAAGAUGCCCAAAGAAGGCUGAAUCCACCUAUGAUGGAGGUAGUGAAAAAGGAAAUAGUCAAGCUUCUUGACGCAGGUAUCAUCUACCCAAUCUCUGAUAGCAAAUGGGUAAGUCCUGUGCAUGUAGUCCUAAAGAAAACUGGGAUCACCAUUGUUCCAAACGCUGAAGGAGAACUUGUUCCAACUAGAGUUCAGAAUGGAUGGAGAGUAUGCAUGGACUAUAAGAAGCUGGAAAGGCUUGCAAGUAAGUCCCAUUAAUGUUGUCUUGAUGGUUUUUCAGGUUUUUAUCAGAUUCUAGUAGCUCCAUAAGACCAAGAAAAGACCACCUUCACUUGUCCUUUUGGCACUCUUGCAUUUAGAAGGAUGCCAUUUGGUCUCUGUAAUACCCCUGCUACCUUCCAACAUUAUAUGAUGAGCAUAUUCUCAGGUUAUGUGGGGAACACCAUUGAAGUGUUCAUGGAUGACUUCACAGUGCAAGGUAACUCCUUUGAAAAAUGCCUUGCCAACCUGGAAAAGAUCCUACAAAGAUGCCUUGAAUCAAAUCUUGUACUUAAUUAUGAAAAAUGCCACUUCAUGGUUAACCAAGGUAUGGUCUUAGGGCAUGUUGUUUCAGCUAAAGGAAUUGAAGUGGACAAAGCCAAGGUAGACACCAUAAAAAAUCUGCCUUAUCCCACAAAUGUUAGAGAUAUCCGCUCUUUCCUUGGUUAUGCAGGAUUCUGUAGGAGAUUCAUAAAAGACUUCUUCAAAAUCACACAGCCAUUAUACAGAUUGCUCCAACAGGAUAUAACAUUUGAUUUUGAUGCAGAUUGUAAGACAGCAUUUGAUUGGAUAAAGGAAUUACUUGUGACUGCCCCAAUCAUUCAGGCACUUGACUGGAACUUGCCCUUUGAGAUCAUGUGUGAUGCAAGCAACUAUGCUGUGGGGGCAGUCUUGGGGCAACGUGUGGGGAACUCACCCCACGUGAUUCACUAUGCCUUUUGCACAUUGGAUGCUGCCCAAAGCAACUACUCAACAACAGAAAAAGAGCUCUUGGCUAUUGUAUUUGCUUUAGAGAAAUCCAGACCAUACCUCCUGGGGACUAAAGUCAUCAUCUAUUCUGACCAUGCAGCCUUGCGAUAUCUGAUCAAGAAAAAGGAAGCAAAACCGAGACUCAUUCGGUGGAUUCUGCUAUUACAAGAAUUUGAUCUGGAGAUACGUGACAAGAAAGGGAAAGAGAAUCUAGUGGCUGACCACCUAAGCCGGCUUCCCUCCAGCUCUGCGCCAUGUUCAGUCAAAGAAGUCUUUUCAAAUGAACAUCUGUUCGUCUCUCAGUCUGCUUAAGUGGAUCACACCAUGCACACCACCCCAGGGGAGUACUUAGUUUCCUUUGAACUUUUAUAUUUCGAAUACAUUGAGGACAAUGCAUGAUUAAGGUAUGGGGGUGCAUAUCUCCGAACUUUUAUUUUUAGUCAUUUUUUGCUUUCAGUUUUAGUUUGAAUAAACACAGUUUUAUUUUUUUUUCAUUUUUGUUAUUUUUGCUUUCAUUGCACACACAUUUAGCCACGGUUAUUUUUUCUUUUUGUGUUUUGAUUUGCUUUACUUGAACUUAUAGACUAUGUUGGAUGGGAUUUCUUUCCAUGACCCCAUUGAUGUGAUGACUCUUUAAACUUAUGUUGAAUAAAUUGUAGUGAGUUGUAUUCAUGUUUGGGAAUUGCCUUUCGAAUUGAAUCUUUGAGCUUGCCAUGGUGAAAAAUAUAUGUUACUCAUUAGAGAGAAUCAAUUGAAAGAUGUGUGAAUGAACUUAAUAUGACUUGUUUUAGCAAUUGGUGAUAGUUUGCCCAAAUCUAUUGAGAUAGAAAAUUUGGCAAUGGCUUAGACUUCAUGAGCACAAAUUGAAAACUGUUCCAAUGGUUGAAAGGCUAUGAACAGAGCUAGUAGCCACUUGGACAUGUGACUAACUGAAAAUAUAUACUUUCACAUCAAAAAAGUUGGUGACUUUUUCAAGCAAGAUUUAAGUGCAAAAUUCUGAAUAUAGUACUUCAAGGUAAGGGAAAAUCACUCUGAAAGCUAGAAAGAGUCUUAAUUGAACAAAUAAUGUGUGCAUGUGUAAUCUCUCUACUGAGGAAAAUAAAUACUAGCCAUGGUAGAUAAAGGGAGACAAGGAAAGAAGGUGAGUAACCUUGAUGCAUACAUUCUUCACUGCAAUGAUUCAAAAUAAGUGUCUAGAGUAAGAGCUUAAGUGGAAAUAAAGGAUAAAGAAGCAAAGAGAGCUUGUUUGACAUUUGCUUGAGGACAAGCAAAAGGCUAGGUGUGAGGGUAUUUGAUAGAGCAUAAUUUAGACAAUUUUAUCAUGAUGAUAUUGAUAUUAAUUUACACUUUCUCUGCCUAAUUUUGUGAUUUUGAUCUUAUUUUGCAGAAAAUUUCUUCCUAAAUGUGUCUAUAUAGAAAAAAAAAAGUUUUGGCAUUGAUAGAGCAUAAAUUAGUCCAUUUUAUCUUGAUAUUAUUGAUGAUUAUUUACAUGAUUUAUGCUUAAUUUAGUGCUCUUGACAUUAUUUUGCAAAAAAUGGUGAAAAAGGACAUUUUGGAGAAAAUACCCUUAAAACUGCCUUAAAUGGAACAAAGGAGAGCAAGCCUGCCAAGUUGGAAUCACGUGAAGCUAAAUAAGGAAAGUUCUAAAUAAGGAAGGUGGCAAAGAAGGAAAGAAAAUUCAGCCAAAGCAAUUUGAAGUUCAAAUUUCAAAUCUCCAAGUAGCCUUUUCCUUAUUCAAGAAGCCAAGUCUCAAGUUGUCAUAAACGAAGAGCCAAAUAAGGAAAGUAUUUUAAAAUUCAAAUCUUCAAGAUUCAUAUUCAAAUUUUGAAUUUCAAAAUCCAGCUUAUUGAGGAAGCCAAAUCCAAAGAUCACAUGCUUGCCACCUCAUGCCUUGCACAUUAAAAAUUCAAAUUGCAAAGGAGGCUCCACCUUCCUUAUUAGUGCAUGGGCGGCAAGGAGAGUGUGAAGGCAAGACUUGGGCACCUUGGGCAGCAUCUUGAAAACACUUGGGCAGCAAACAAAGACCAAAAUACCCACUCCUUGCACUUGAACACAUGCCCCACAUUUUUCCCUUCUCACAUGUGUAUGGAUGGCACAUCUUGGACCAAAGGCAUUUUGGACAGCCUCUUGAAGUCUUUUGGGCAGCCUCUUGACACCUUGGGCAGCCUCUUCACUAAUUAGGAAGCAAGUAUCAUCUAGGGCAACACUUUUCAAGUAUAAAAAGACACAUAAGGAGCCUCCCCAUGCUCUUUCAAGCCCCCCUUGGAGGCACCUACGGAAUUCACAUCUCUUCUUCUACCUUUCUUCUUUUCUUUUAUUUUCUUUUUUUGUUUCAGCCAUGAGUGGCUGAGACCUUUUUUUCUAGUUGAAGAUUGGUUGAAACUUUGGUUGUUUUAUGGAUUGUGAGAUCUGAACAUAAGUUGUUGAUCUUUUGGUUAUUUAAUAUUUGUGCAAUUUCAUGCUUGAUUCCAUUAUUGCUUUGUUAUUUUGAUCAAUGUGGCCAAUUGAUUAUUGAUUGCAAGGUAAUAUAUUGUUAGUUUGAAUGAUUUUAAGUCCGUAAUUGCUUGGAUUGUUCAGACAUAAGAACACUUGGUGUAAAAACCAAGAAAAUUGUAUGAUCUAGCAACAUCUCAUGCGUUUGAGUAGUUAGGAUUGGAUCUCUCUCUUUCUUCAUGCAAUUAACAAUUGUUUGAUGCCUAAGGCCCAAGGACGUUCCUUGGCAAUUUGUUAAUUAGUAAUUAAUUAGAGGACGUUCCCUAAUUGGUUUAAUCAUAAGGAGAGACAUGGUGGUAAGAAGCAUCUUCCAUCUCCAUAACUAAUCUAUUGAAUCAAUCAAAAGAAACUAAGUGUCAAUGAUCAAUCCCAACAACUGAAGUGGAUCCAACUCUUCAACUAGAACUUUCUUAUUAUUUAUUUCUCUUUUAUUUUAUUAUUCGCUUAUUUUAAUUGCUUUCAGUAGUUUGUUAAUCAAAUCAAUCUCAAACCUCCCAUUUUACUUUUACUGCAAUUUAUUUUUAUUCCGCUUUCAGUUUAUCUCGUUUUCAAUUUUAUCUCGUUUCAGUUUGUUUUGCUUUUAGUUUAUCUCGUUUUCAGUUUUACCUCAUUUCAGUUUGUUUUGCUUUCAGUUUAUUUUGCUUUUAGUUUUAUCUCGUUUCAGUUUAUUUUGCUUUCAAUUUAUUUCGCUUUCAGUUUAUUUUGCUUUUAGUUUUAUCUCGUUUCAGUUUAUUUUUUUUUUCAGUUUAUUUUUAUUUCAGUUUAUUUUAUUGAUCUUGAUAAGGAAAAUAGGUAAGUUCUCAAUUCCCUGUGGAUUCGAUCCUUUCACCACUAUCUGCAGUUGUAAAUUUUUGAUAACCAGAAAGUUUAUUUUUGACGGGCUUCGACAACCGCGAGUCAAAAAUUGGCGCCGUUGCCGGGGAGUUAAUUUAACUUAUUUGUUUUUCUUUCAGGACCAGAUCUGCCACCCAAAGAACACCUCAUCGCAGAUCUGAACAUAAAAAAAAAAGAAAGGAAGUGAAGACCACUUUUGCGCAGGAGCACCUUCUGCAACACAUUCGGCCGCCGAACUUCAUCAACCUUCGGCCGCGGAACCUCAUUCUCAUUCGGUCGCCGAACAUCUCACCAAAGGCACAGUCACCAUCGCAGAUCUGAAUCAUGGAUGAGGUAAGUACACCUGCCACUUCUUCUUAGCUUUCUGAACUGACAUCUUUUAUGAAAGAUUUUGCCAUAGGACUAGUUCAACAGGUUCAAGCAUUUCAGCCACCAAGGCCAUAUGGGACCUAUGCAUAUGUAGGACAUCCAACUGAUCAAUUCCUAUACUUUAUGGGAAUAGUCAGCCUAGACAUACAUUUGGAGGAUUCAAUGACCAACCAGUUCAUGCAUAUGAAGGAUUCAAUAGCCAGCCGAGACAUGAUCCAUACUAUAACACAUACAAUCCAAGCUGGAGAGACUAUUCAGACUUCAGUUAUGCAUGGGAUAACGACUACCAGAAUUAUCAAGGAUAUCAAACCCAACCAGAACCUCCAAAUUCCAUCCAGGACCUUGAAAAGAUGAUGGAGUCCAUGGCGAGUGCUAUACUAAGCCUCAAUCAGCGCGUAGACCAGCUAACUGCAUCUACGAGCAGAUCUGAAUCCCAAGGCACCUCAAUGAAUGCAAACAUGUUAAGAAGAGAGGAAGAGUUUCAAGAUGAUGAGACAGAUGAUGAAAGUUGGCAAGUACAAGAACAAGCUGUUGAAGAGACACAACCAGAAUACUGUUUGUCCAAACAAACUGAUCAAACAGAACUUGUUGAUAGUUUAGAUAUCAUUGAUUGUUUGAGAAAAUAUGUUUUUGAUAUAAAAGAUGAUAUUCUAAACAAUGAUUUAUGCAGGGAAGAAAGCCAAAAAGAGCCAAAUUGCAUCCGACAGGUGGACUGCAACCAUGUGCAGAAUGAAUAGAAACCAAUUGUACCACUUCAGCUUGGUACGCAAACCACUCCUGCGUAGGAAGGAGGACCUGAAAGCCUUUCAGGUGUGUCCUUUCAGCUUCAACCGUAGGUCAGUCAUCCCUUUCAGUCAGAUCUUGCGUAGAAGGAGCAAACUAAAACCAAUUCAGCCAUAGAUCCAAUGCAAACAGCCCAUGCUAACAAGAAACAAGUGGAAGUUCAAGAGCCCAAACCAAAGGACCAUGCGGACCAAUGCCUUCCCAAACCUCCGGAUAAGGUAGAGUUUGUUUUGCCUGAAUUAAGUACUAAAUUGCAGCUAGCUAUGGAGAGAUAUGAAUUGAAGUUGGAAGUGCUAAAAAAUGCAAACAUAAGGGCUAGAGGCACACCUCAUCUGAAAGAAGAGAAGCUAAUCAUGUUUCUUCAUGAGUACAUGGAAAAAAUAGGAUGGGCUAUGACCAAAUCAAAAGGAGUGCUACACUUUUUGCUCAAUGCAAUUAGGACGCUUUUCCCUUCCCCAAUUACUUGAGCCUUGAUCAAGAGGAUCGCACCAUGCACACCACACCUAGGGGAGUACUCAAUUUUCUUUUGCAUUUUAAUGUUUCUUAUACAUUGAGGACAAUUCAUGAAUUAGGUGUGGGGGUGCAUAUCUCUGAAUUUUCCUUCCAGCUUUUUGCGAUUUUUCUUCUUCUUUUUCUUUCAGUUUUUGCGCAAUUUUUUUUCUUUUUUUUCCUUUCAGAUUUGCGAUUUUUGCUUGUUUUAGUUCAUGCGAUUUUUGCUUUCAGUUUUCCCUUUAGUUUGUUUUCAUUUAUGCUUUCAAUAACACACACACAACCACAACCUUCUUCUUCUUUUUGAUUUGCUCUACUCAAACUGAUGAACUAUGUUGGAUGAGCUUUUCUUUCCAUGACCCCAUUGAUGUGAUGACUUUUUAAACUUAUGUUGAAUCAAUUGAAGUGAGUUAUAUUCAUGUUUGAGAAUUGCCUUUUGAAUUGAAUCUUUGAGCUUGCCAUGGUGAAAAAUGUAUUGAUGACACUCAUUAGAGAGAAUAAAUUGAAAACUGUGUGAAUGAACUUAAUAUGACUUGUUUUAGUAAUUGGUGUUGAUUUGCCCAAAUCAUUGAGAGAAAGAAAAUUCAACAAAGGCAAAGACCUCAUGAGAACUGUAAUACUCGGCGAGAGUCCGGCAUCGGAAUUCCUAUCGUCCGGUGGAAUCCAGGAUGUCAGAAUUCUCUAGAAGGGUAAGAUUUUAUGUUUUUCUAAAGUCAUAUAGUAUGUUUUCCUAGUUGAAAAUUGAAAUGAAAAGAGUUUUUGAAAGAAAAGAACCAAGGCAGAAAAGCCAGGUUCGGCCGCCGAAGUUGAGGUUCGGCCGUCGAACAUACAUGGCUUUCGGUUUCACGAUAGGCCGCCGAAGGUGGUCUGGCCAGCCACCAAUAAAAGGCUCUCAGUUGGUUGAAAGGAUAAGCUCUGCCGUUUCUUUCACUUGCUGAGGUGAAACCCUGUCCUUCUUCAGUUUUCUUCAUGUUUUCAUUACAUCAUGCAAAUAUUUGAUUGAUUUUUAUGGUUUUUUGAAGGUUUUGAGCUAAAAACACAAAGUUGUGAAGUUUGGAGAGUUUGAAGGAGAAUUGUUCCAAAACUCCACGUUAGGAUCGUUCAUCUUCUUGGUUUCAAGAGGUAAGUGAAGAUCCUGAGCUUGUUUUUAUGUUUUCUGAAGGUUUUAGAAGGUUUUUGGGUAGAGUUGCAUGAAUAGAGUAAAAAGUGAGGUUUUUGGUGUUUUGUUGAUAAAACAUGUUUAUGUGUUAUAUGUUUUGUGUUGUUGGGGUUUUUAGGUAGUUUUUGACCCCUUUGAGCAUAUACUUGGGUGUAUGCAAAUUGAGGAAUUGAGGUGUUUGAGAUUGGGAGCGUUUGUGCAUUUGGCGAAAGGCAGAGCAAGUUUCUGCCUUGCUGAUGAACUCAGGUUCGGCAGCCGAAGGUACUUUCGGCCGCCGAACCCAUGAGGAGGUGGCUUCGGCUGCCCAAGCUUGCCCCCGAACUUUUGGACUUUCGGCUCUGGAGGGGAGGUUCGGCCGCCGAAGGUGCCACCGAAGGUUAGAGACUUUCGUCUCUGGAGUGCCUUUCAGCCUCCGAAACUUGCCCCCGAAAGGGUUCGGCUGCCGAAAGUAGAGAUUCGGCCGCCGAAGAUGCAUGAGUUUCGGCUCUGGAGAGGACUUUCGGCCGCCGAACCUGCCGCCGAAAGUGUUCUGUCCAGCCUUCCUUUGCAUGCUCUGCAUGGAUGUUUGAGUGAGUUUAAGGGGAUUCUUGGGGCGGUUAAUAGAGUUGUUCUUGAGUUAGUUUGGUCCCUCAUUUGAGAUUAUCUGUGCCUACACAGACCAGAGGAACCAGAGAGAGCAGCAGUGAGUACUGCUCCAGCGUUUCAGAGCCUGCAAAGUCAGUCCAGAUAGCCAGAGGUGAGUGGAACUAAACUUAAGUCUUUUAAUUGAGAAAUGGAAUGUUUUUAGCAUAUGUCAUGCAUCAUGGUUAUGCAGUAGGUUGAUUGCAUUAGAAUCCACGAAUAUGUUGCAUUGCAUCGUGAUUUGUUGAUGUGGGUGAAUGCUAAAUGAUCCAAUAGUCUCUGAGAGAAGUCCAGGAGCCUUUGACUACGCCCUGGCAGGGAUAGUAAAGUCCAGGAGCCUUUGACUACGCCCUGGCAAUGGUAAGUACAGGUUUUAUAUACACAUAUACAUAUAUGAGACAGGAAAUCCAGGUGCCUUUGACUACGCCCUGGUAUGAGAUACUGGGACUAUUUGGUGACAGGUUUACCCUUGAUGUGGAUUGUUUGUGUUAUGAUGCAUUCCAUAAGAUCAUGUUUUAAUGAUAUGUUUUACUGUUCUACUCACUGGGCUAUAGAGCUCAUCCCACUCCCUUAACCCCAGUCUUGCAGGGUUCAGUGUAUAGUGUACAGGGGAAGUCCAGCAGAGUACAGAAAGAGAGACGAGAUGUGUAAUAGCUUAGAGUGGACAUGUAAUUUGCAGAGAUAUACUAGUUGUGUAUAAAAGUGUGCUUGACUUAGUUAUAUUUGUGGUGUAAAUCUUUUGUAUACAUGGUCUGGUUAUAUGUAUAUGUUUUUACAGAAUAUGUGAAAAACCAGGCUUAACAGGUAUGAGUUACCCAUCUAGAGCAAGCUCUAGUAAGGGAUACAGAGUAUAGAGUACAGAGUACAGAGUACAGAGAUAGUGCAUGCACAGGUUAAGCCUUGGUUCAGAAAAGAGUUUUUAUUUUCACAGAAAAUGUAUGAUCAUGUAUGAGAUUUACAGGUACACAGAGAGUAUAGCAGGCUUGCUACGGGUUCUGGCGGCCUUAAGCCGACCUGAAUCCUAGCGCCGGUGACAGUCCAUUUUGGGGUCGUUACAGAUUGGUAUCAGAGCCCUAGGUUCACAUGAUCGGACCUAUAGAGACAGUGUCGGGCUCAUAGAGGUUAGAAGUGGUCAAGCACAAUAGGAAAUCAUGUCCACGAGGAUAGGAUGUUGCGUCCUGUCUAUUUGUUGCUAUGAUAUGCAUGUGCCUUAUUGAGAUCUCUGAGUUCAAUAUCUGCUGAUAUGCUAUGUUAUGUGUUAUUUUCCAGAGUUACAAUGCGAGGAACUCGUCGAUCAGCUCGAUUGACUGGAGUCCCACCAGAGAGUGAGAGAACAGCUGCUCGUCCUCCUGCAUUGCCAAGGGCAAGGUCACAGAGAUCUAGCAGGGAAGGUAUGUCAAUAGACCCUAGAAGGUCUGUAGACGAGAGUAGAAGAGCUACAGUUAGAGGAGGAAGAUCAGAGGAAAUGAGGGAGGCUAUGGAGAAUGACCAGUCACCAGAUGCAAGCAUGAGUGUAGGCAGAUCUGUAGAAGGUAUGGGAGAGUCGUAGGGAGGCGCUUAUACCUUAGGGUUUGGUUAUCCAGCCUUUUCUCAGGACCCAGGGUAUCCGAUGGAAGGUAUGUCGGAGCACUCUAGUUUUUUCCCAUAUCCUACUUACAUGCCAUAUAUGCCUUAUCCUCAUUAUUACCCACCAUAUCCUAUGUAUCCAUCUUCCCCUACCCAUCCAAGUGCAGCACACCCAGAGCUAAAUGAACCAGUACCUCCACCACCACAAUCAGAACCAGUAGCCCCUGUUGUUGCCCAAAGACAUCAACCUAGCUCAUCUGGCGGUAAGGUGCAAAUGAUAGAGUACUUGAAAUUGGAUGCUCCUAAAUUCAAUCCGAGAGAUGAUCCAUUUGAAUACCUCAGAUCAGUUAGGAUGAUAACCAGUGAAUUGGGAGCUGAUGAUAGUAGAGCCAUUGAGAUGGCGGGGUUUACGUUGAAGUGUAAGAAAGCUCGAAAAUGGUUCAAGAAUUAUAUGGAGCCCAAGGUGGACAGUAUGUCAUGGGGAGAGUUCGCCAAUGAGUUUGCAGGGUGGGCUUUUCCUGAUAGCUCCAGGGAAAUGAAAGUCAUCGAAUUUGAGCAGUUGAGACAGACAGAUGAGAUGAGUGUUGACGAGUUUACAGAUAAAUUCCUGGAUUUGCUUCAGUAUGUGGGUCAAGCCUAUGAUACUGAUCAGAAGAAGGCAAGGAGAUAUACUAUGAGAUUGCAUCCCAGGUAUUCUUCUUUGAUUGUUCCAGCAGAAAAGGAGAGUUUUCACUCUAUUGUGGAUGCAGCCAGGAAAAUGGAAGCAAGUGCCAAUAGUCAAAGACAGUCAAAGGCACAGGUUUCGGGUUCUAAGGCCCCCAGUGCAGCAACAUCAGGCAGCAAGAGAUGGGAUAGAGCAAAAGGAACAAAGAGUAAGUUCUGGAAUAAAGUCAAGUCAGGUCUGGGAAUAGGUAGUGGCUCAAGCUCUGGCGCAAGCAGUCCAGUAUGUAGACGAUGUGGGAGACCACACAAGGGAGCUUGUCAGUUGGGAUCUUCAGCCUGUUUUAGGUGUGGUCAGGAAGGGCAUUUUGCUCGGGAUUGUCCUCAAGUGACUUUUGCACCAUCCCAGCAGAUGAGUUCAGGUAGUGUAUGUAAUACCCAGCUAGACUCCGGUAUCGGAAUUCCUACCGCCCGGUGGAAUCUCGGAUGUCGGAAGCCUCUAGUAGGGUAGAAUCAUAUUUUCAUAAAAUGUUUUAAGGUAUUUCAUGGUUUUAAGUAUGAAAAUUUAAUGAGUUUUUACAUGAAAAGUCUUUGGAGGAAAACCCAGGUUCGGCCGCCGAAAGUCAAGUUCGGCCGCCGAACAUGCAUGCGUUUUGGAGGCACGUUAGGCCCCCAAAAGCAUGAGUGAGGGAAUUCCAGGUUCGGCCGCCGAAAGUCAAGUUCGGCCGCCGAACAUGGCAUGCAUGCGGAGGCACAUUCGGCCCCCGAACGUGGCCUGGCCAGCCACCUAUAAAAGGGUCCCUUAGGUCCGUACGGGCGAGCUUUUUCUCCCCCGUUGUCGGCCAAGGUGAGUCUCCGCCACCCCUCCCUCAAUCUUGAGUGUUUUCCUUAGAUCUUCCAUGAUUUUCACGGGUUUUAACUUCUGUUUUGAAGAUUUGUGAGUAAAGAGCAAGUUUUGGGUACUUGGAGGUUCAAGGAGCUCAAUCUCUCCAUCUCCAAGCUAGGAUCGCCUUUCCUCUCGUUUCUUCAAGAGGUAAGCUCGGAUCCACCCUUGUUAUGUGUUUUAAACAAGCAUUAAGUUGUUUUAUGGGUAGAGAUGCAUGUUUAGGCUUGUUGAUGAGUUUAUGGGUUUUGAUGUUUUGAUGAACAAUGUAUGCUGAUUUUUUUGUGUUUGAAGUGUUGUAGUUGGGGUAUUUGAUUGUUUGAGACCCCUAGGAACUUGUAUGCAUGUUUUAGUUGAGCUAUAUGCAUGAUUUGAGGUUUUGGGAGGCAAAUGUGCAUAAAGGAGCCAAGUUUCUGCCCUUUGGCAGAAACCAAGUUCGGCAGCCAAAGGAGCUUUCGGCCGCCGAACAUGGCUGGGGAGGCAGGCCUUUUGGCUGCCGAAGUUGCCGCCGAAAAGAUACUUUCGUCUCUGUCUGGGACUUUCGGCCGCCGAAGGUGCCGUCGAACAUGCAUGAGUUUCGCCUCUGUCUGGGAGUUUCGGCCGCCAAAGGUGCCGCCGAACCUGCCUGACUUUCGGCUCUGGAGGGACUUUCGGCCGCCGAACCUGCCGCCGAAAGUGCCCUGUUCAGCCAUUUCAUGCAUGUAUUUCUAUGAUUAUUUCAUGAUGUUUUAGAGGGUUUUUGGGGAGUAUAUUAGAGUUAUGUUUAUGUAUGUUUGGUCCCUCAUUGGAGUCCACCUGUGUAGGUUCGGACCCGAGGAACCGAGGACCCCAGCAGUGAGCCAACUGCUACAGAGUUUGUCAGAGCUAGCCAGAGGUGAGUGGAAUAAACCUUAAAGUUUUAAAAUAAAUGAAGUAUGACUUUUGAGCAUGAUCCAUGCAUCAUGAAUGCCAUGAGAUAUAGUAGGUUGUUUGCAUUAGUAUUCACGAAUAUGUUGCAUUGCAUUUAUGAUGUUGAUGUGGAUUGGUUAUUGGAUGAUCCUUUAGUCCUCAUAUGUAUGAUGAUGUUACGGCAUGAUAUGGUAUGGAAGUCCAGGUUGUACCCAUUCUACGUCCCUGGCACGAUGUAAGAGAAAGUCCAGGUUGUACCCAUUCUACGUCCCUGGCAUAUUGGUAUGUUAUGAUAUGUUAUGAUAAGGGAAAGACCGGUUGUACCCAUUCUAUGUCCCGGCACAGUUGGACUAUGUAGAGGACUAUAGGUGACAAUACCAUCCGAGAUGUGAUUAGUUGUGAUGUGUUGCAUUACAUAAUGGCAUGAAAUUUUAAUGUAUGAUUUCACUAUUCUGCUCACUGGGCUUUGUAGCUCACCCCUCUCCCCUAACCCCAGGUGUGCAGGUACAGGGUAGACCAGGAGGUUAGCCAGAGUUUUGAAGUUUGUGUAUGUAAUAGCUAUAUUGUGGACAUGACAAUUGUACUAUGAUGUAAUGUAAGAGAUUGCAGUAUGUUAUGUAAUGAGGUAUAUUGAGGUUAUAGAUGUGCUUGACCCUAUGAGUAUUAUAAUUCCUUGUUGAUGCAUGAUCUUAGAUAUUUGAUGAUACAGAUGUAAGCCAACUCAUCUCAUGUUAUAGUGCUCAUUGGGGCAUUGUUGAGAUCCCACAGAGGGGUCAUGAUUAUGGUUAUGUAAUGUAUGUUCAGGUUGAGUUGGAUGUAUGAAAGAAAAGUUUAAUUUUUAUGCAUGUUUUUGAUCAUGUAUGGGAUUAUACAGGUUUCCAGGAUGUGUGUUUGGCUUGCUACGGGUCCCGGCAGCCUUAAGUCGACCCGGAUCCUAGCGCCGGUAGCGGUCCGAUUUUCGGGUCGUUACAGUGUAGUACAACCAGCAGCUCCAGCCGUGCCUCAGAAUAGUGGCAGAGGUAGAGGGAGAGGGGCAGCCUCUACUUCAGCAGCAGGUUCCCAAGGUGGAAAUCCAGUAGCCCCAGCACGGAUUUUCACUGUGACACAGGAGGAGGCUAACACGUCGAACACAGUGGUGUCAGGUAAUCUCAUCAUUAGAUGUUCAGAUGUGUAUGCUUUGAUGGACCCCGGUGCUUCUCAUUCCUUUAUUGCUUCGAGAGCCAUAGAGAGAUUGGGUUUGAUCAGUUCUGAGUUAGAGUAUCCUCUCUGGGUCAGUGGACCCAAGUGUGACCCAUCAGUAGCAGUGUCAGUCUGUCGUUUUAGUCCAGUGUUCAUAAAGGGUAGAUGCCUUCCAGCUGACCUUGUGGUUCUAGAUUUGAC
Molecule: long non-coding RNA, 26457 nt
Filed under: Manihot esculenta (cassava)
Lineage: Eukaryota; Viridiplantae; Streptophyta; Magnoliopsida; Malpighiales; Euphorbiaceae
Description: long non-coding RNA (MESC_LNC003285)
Source: RNAcentral